Molecule: long non-coding RNA, 471 nt
Filed under: Numida meleagris (helmeted guineafowl)
Lineage: Eukaryota; Metazoa; Chordata; Aves; Galliformes; Numididae
Description: lncRNA (ENSNMEG00000006611.1)
Source: RNAcentral
AUGCAAAAGGGAAGGGUUUCAUUUUCCUGCUGUGCUGUCCAGCUUCUCCAUUGCUCCUGCCUGCCCUGUGAUGUAUGGGCCUUUUCAGGCAGCUUUGGCCUGACCCAGCCAGCCAAAAUCAGAGGAAAAUCUGGUUUUAUAUUGCCUGGGGAGAAUUCAUCACAGAAGGGUUGCUGGUUGCUGACACUACCAUGCCUCAAUCCAUCCCAUCAGCUCUGUGUGAAGAUGAUGAUGACCCCAUCCUGUUGGUCCCCUGAAGAUCUGGCCCUCAGGUUCAUUGCCAGACCCACAAGGAUCUAAAGGCUCUGAAAGACAUCCGCAGCACCCCAUUAUUUGGGUCAUUACACCAUCCCACCAAUUAAUCCUCAUUACCACAGCUAGUAUUUACUGUUGUGAAUAAGCUCAACUGUUCACAAUAGGUAGUUGCACUUCCAACCCCAAUAAUCAGGUGGCAGAUUCAUAAAAAUCAAG